Molecule: transfer-messenger RNA, 367 nt
Filed under: Parvularcula marina
Lineage: Bacteria; Pseudomonadati; Pseudomonadota; Alphaproteobacteria; Parvularculales; Parvularculaceae
Description: Alphaproteobacteria transfer-messenger RNA
Rfam family: Alphaproteobacteria transfer-messenger RNA
About the family: Bacterial tmRNA, also known as 10Sa RNA or SsrA, is named for its dual tRNA and mRNA-like properties. Its role is to liberate the mRNA from a stalled ribosome.
Source: Rfam by way of RNAcentral
GCUCUUCAAACCUUCACCCUUGGACGCUAUAUGUGUCCGUGAUGCUUCGGUAUCUAUGGCGAUAAAUGGCGCUCGUAAUAAGCGGCCCGGACCCGGGGGCGGUACCCGGCGGCUCCACCAGAGGCCUCACGACGAUAAGUGGUGUGAGGAUUGUGGCGGGGCCGAAAUAGUAUCGACGGACGUGUAAAGGUUCUGCUUUCGCUCGGAUGGUCUCCGUUAUUGGGCCACUUAGAAUAGUUGCAAAUGACAACUCUUCGGAAGGUUUCGCUCUCGCUGCGUAACGCAGUGCGAGAAAACCGCAUUUAAGUCCCAGACCCAUCCCGGUCUGGGCGGGGUCCCGGCGAACCUGGCAACAGAAUCGCCGACU